This 900-nucleotide ribosomal RNA is filed under the name Pediococcus acidilactici. RNAcentral's name for it is "bacterial SSU rRNA". It matches the Rfam family "Bacterial small subunit ribosomal RNA", at positions 44 to 947 of the family's 1533-position model. Lineage: Bacteria; Bacillati; Bacillota; Bacilli; Lactobacillales; Lactobacillaceae. The record is from RNAcentral.
UUGAUUAUGACGUGCUUGCACUGAAUGAGAUUUUAACACGAAGUGAGUGGCGGACGGGUGAGUAACACGUGGGUAACCUGCCCAGAAGCAGGGGAUAACACCUGGAAACAGAUGCUAAUACCGUAUAACAGAGAAAACCGCCUGGUUUUCUUUUAAAAGAUGGCUCUGCUAUCACUUCUGGAUGGACCCGCGGCGCAUUAGCUAGUUGGUGAGGUAACGGCUCACCAAGGCGAUGAUGCGUAGCCGACCUGAGAGGGUAAUCGGCCACAUUGGGACUGAGACACGGCCCACACUCCUACGGGAGGCAGCAGUAGGGAAUCUUCCACAAUGGACGCAAGUCUGAUGGAGCAACGCCGCGUGAGUGAAGAAGGGUUUCGGCUCGUAAAGCUCUGUUGUUAAAGAAGAACGUGGGUGAGAGUAACUGUUCACCCAGUGACGGUAUUUAACCAGAAAGCCACGGCUAACUACGUGCCAGCAGCCGCGGUAAUACGUAGGUGGCAAGCGUUAUCCGGAUUUAUUGGGCGUAAAGCGAGCGCAGGCGGUCUUUUAAGUCUAAUGUGAAAGCCUUCGGCUCACCCGAAGAAGUGCAUUGGAAACUGGGAGACUUGAGUGCAGAAGAGGACAGUGGAACUCCAUGUGUAGCGGUGAAAUGCGUAGAUAUAUGGAAGAACACCAGUGGCGAAGGCGGCUGUCUGGUCUGUAACUGACGCUGAGGCUCGAAGCAUGGGUAGCGAACAGGAUAGAUACCCUGGUAGUCAUGCCGUAACGAUGAUUACUAGUGUUGGAGGGUUCCGCCCUUCAGUGCUGCAGCUAACGCAUUAAGUACUCCGCCCGGGGAGUACGACCGCAGGUUGAACUCAAAAGAUUGAGGGGGCCGCACAGCGGGGAGCUGUGUUUAUU